CCGCCUGAGGCGCCAUGGCCGGGGAGAGGGCGCCCCCUGCAGGCCGCGGUGGUGAGGCGGGAGCUGAGGGAGCCGGGGCGAAAUCGGCGCUAAGAAACGGAGCCGCAAAAGGAAUUAUUUGAAAUUAUUUGAAAUGACGAUUAAAUUUAAAAAGAGCCGAGUGUGACGCUGUGGAGAAACACGACAGUGACACAAAUAGGAAUGUUAAAAGCACGAUAAAACAAUGCAGCUCGCUCUGCUGUUUCCGCGCAAACUGUUUCUGCCGUGAGACGCUACAAAGAGAAAAAUUAAACUUAAUAGAGUUUUCCAAGAACCGUUGUCAGCUCGUGUUCACAGCGUUUCGUGAAGGAAUUGCCCUCCAGUGCUUUAAGUUAUUAUACAGUUAAUUUUCUUUGAAACUAUUUUUGUCUGCCUCUCUCUAAAUAGGUGGUUUCUUAAGAUUAAAAAAAUUGGAGUUAUGUGCAGUUUUCAACUGUCCAAGUAAAGCAUUGCAUUUUUACAGCUAAAUGUUCCUUGUGUCCUGAAGAGAACACGGAGAACUUUGCAACGCCAAUGACAUUGUUCUGCUUUAACUCCUCAUCCUUUAAUCCUCACAGCAUACCUGCCAGACAGGCAUCUGUGCUAACUCCUCUACAAAUCCCCACAAAUUUCUCAUGGAAAACGUUCAUAGGAAGUUUUGCAAGUUACCAACACACAAUCAUAGCACGUGUCCAACUUCUGCACUGCGGAAGUGAUGAGCACAAUCUGGGUGAAGUCCUCCAGAAAUCAAAGUCACCUUCCUGCCUUAAUUCUCAGCACCCAUGUGCAGACUUCCAGUGGAGCUGUUUGUUUAAACAGAGCUCAUUUUCAAGCAGUGAUGGCUGCACAGAGAUCUUGAAAGAAAUCUGAUUUAUUAUCUUUCAAGACAGACAUCUGCAAACUGAAGCCCCAGAACUCUUGAGACACUCCCCUAAAAGCUGCUGCCUUUCUUUGUGACUCGUCCAUGCACGCCUGCCUCCUACCUCCACCACUGAGCAUCCUGAAACUGCUGAUUCUUCUUUUUAAACAGUGUCAAAUCUAUUCAAAACUUCAAAUGUACCUCAGAGGAUGGUAAAGGCAACAACUUACUGCAAUUUCCCUUGACAGAAAAUAGAACUGGCUGGGUGAUAGCCACACAAAUUGACAGUUCCUUCCUCUUCUCUCCAUGAUGUUCACAGUUACAAGUAGUUGGAUGUGCCAUAGCAAACCUUUGGAGCACUCCCCAGCCUGUUUCAGGCUGAGCUGCUGAACAGAGAUGAGAGGAAGUCAAAUGGUAGAUACAGAACUGUCUCCACAGAGGAAGAAAGCUCAGAGCACGUUUUGGGUGCCUUCCAGUGGCUCCAGGCAGAAGAGGAUGGCUCCAGAACAGCCACGCACAAACCUUUGUUCAGAGAAGUCCAAAGAAAGGCAAAAACAGAGAGGGUUGUUCUGAGACAAGUCUGGUUCCCUUUAUAAUCACCAAGUCAUAAAAUAGUUCCUUUGAUUCAGAAAUCCCACAAAGGUUCUCUCUAUAGCAGAAAGCCCAGCACAUAGUUGGGCUUUCACAAGAGCUCCUAAUCCUCCUCAUAAUUAGGGAAGAGGGACUGUUCCUGGGCAUUUUUAAUACUCUCAGACUGGAAAAGGGUGCCUACCCCAAACAAACUGCUAUUCAAACUUUCACUUCCAUGGAACUUGUGACUUACUCUCAACAGAAAGGAGGCACAAGGAUGCAGCAAAUCCUGAUUGCAAACAAAACAGCUUCUAGCACAGACCUCAUGAAAGAGGAAGGCUGAAAGAAAAGACAGAACUGAAAAAGCUGUGACAUUGAUAAGUUUUGAACAUUUUUUGAAGCUCCCCUUCACAUCCUUCCAGUUUCUCCAAGGCACAUCCACCACAGGAACAGCAUGGACAGAGCAGUUCUUACAGACUGUUUUACCUUUACACAUUAUUUGUCACAUGUUUCCACACACACCCAAAAAGCAGACACAAAUCUGUGCCAUCAGCUUCCCACUGCCUUGUUCCCACAUUUCUCCUCAAGCAGUAUUUACUGUAGAUAUCCAGAUGUGCUUUGUGACCAAGGCAAAUGAGCAAUGAGAAUUUUAGGCAACAAAAUUCUUUGAAUACAGACCAGUUUACUGACUGUAUGCUACAUGGAAAUAAAACUUGAAGACCCCCAACCUUUCAGUUUUGAGUAGAAAUUAUUAACACACCUGUGACAGCAUCACUUACUUAAAGCAAGCUGCAAAACUAGAACUGUCUUUCCAAAAUGUUUCCACCUUGGCGCAUUCCUGCAUACAUAAAGUAUUUUUGCACAAUAUCCACAACAUUUUAUGAAGUUCAUAUUCCCCUCAUGAGGGAAAGAAAGGAAGAGAGUGGAUUUACCAUGGAGAGGGGAGCCAGAGGGGCUGCUGGACAGGCCGGGCACGGGGCUGC
Molecule: long non-coding RNA, 2430 nt
Organism: Passer domesticus (house sparrow)
Lineage: Eukaryota; Metazoa; Chordata; Aves; Passeriformes; Passeridae
Exons: 3
Source: RefSeq, a predicted model, not a curated record